This 366-nucleotide ribosomal RNA is filed under the name Adenomera marmorata. RNAcentral describes it as "partial 16S ribosomal RNA". It matches the Rfam family "Bacterial large subunit ribosomal RNA", at positions 1994 to 2515 of the family's 2925-position model. Lineage: Eukaryota; Metazoa; Chordata; Amphibia; Anura; Leptodactylidae. The record is from RNAcentral.
GAAAGGCACCACGAGAGUCAUACUGUCUCCUUUCUCUAAUCAGUGAAACUAAUCUUCCCGUGAAGAAGCGGGGAUAAAAAUAUAAGACGAGAAGACCCUAUGGAGCUUCAAACAAAUAACACUUGCCCCAGACCCCUAAUUUCAGAAAAAUUUUCUACCCCGGCAUCAUGAUUAUUAGUUUUCGGUUGGGGUGACCACGGAAUAAAAAACAACCUCCGCAAUGAAAGACACUCAUCUACUUAAUCAAGGGCCACGACCCCACACAUCAACAAAUUGACACUAAUUGACCCAACAUGUUGAUCAAUGAACCAAGUUACCCUAGGGAUAACAGCGCAAUCCACUUCAAGAGCUCCUAUCGACAAGUGG